UACGGGGGGGGCAAGCGUUGUUCGGAAUUACUGGGCGUAAAGGGCUCGUAGGUGGCCAACUAAGUCGGACGUGAAAUCCCUCAGCUUAACUGGGGAACUGCGUCCGAUACUGGAUGGCUCGAGUUUGGGAGAGGGAUGCGGAAUUCCAGGUGUAGCGGUGAAAUGCGUAGAUAUCUGGAGGAACACCGGUGGCGAAGGCGGCAUCCUGGACCGGCAUUGACGCUGAGGCGCGAAAGCCAGGGGAGCAAACGGG
Molecule: ribosomal RNA, 253 nt
Filed under: uncultured bacterium
Lineage: Bacteria
Description: partial 16S ribosomal RNA
Rfam family: Bacterial small subunit ribosomal RNA
Source: RNAcentral